RNAcentral lists this ribosomal RNA (508 nucleotides) under uncultured bacterium. Its description in RNAcentral is "partial 16S ribosomal RNA". It matches the Rfam family "Bacterial small subunit ribosomal RNA", at positions 28 to 507 of the family's 1533-position model. The record is from RNAcentral.
GACGAACGCUGGCGGCGUGCUUAACACAUGCCAGUCGAACGGGCCUUGUCCCCUUUUUUUUUGGGGGUGGGGUUAGUGGCGAACGGGUGAGUAACACGUGAGUAACCUGCCCCUCACUUCUGGAUAACCGCUUGAAAGGGUGGCUAAUACGGGGUGUUCUGGCCUGCUCGCAUGGGUGGGUUUGGAAAGAUUCGACCGGUUUUGGUUGUUUUGGUAGGGGAUGGGCUCGCGGCCUAUCAGCUUGUUGGUGGGGUGAUGGCCUGCCAAGGCUUUGACGGGUAGCCGGCCUGAGAGGGUGGGCGGUCACACUGGGACUGAGACACGGCCCAGACUCCUACGGGAGGCAGCAGUGGGGAAUAUUGCACAAUGGGCGCAAGCCUGAUGCAGCGACGCCGCGUGAGGGAUGGAGGCCUUCGGGUUGUGAACCUCUUUCGCCAGUGAAGAAGGUCCUGCUCUUUGUGGUGGGGUUGACGGUAGCUGGGUUAAUGAAGCGCCGGCUAACUACGUG